Molecule: long non-coding RNA, 217 nt
Filed under: Gossypium barbadense (sea-island cotton)
Lineage: Eukaryota; Viridiplantae; Streptophyta; Magnoliopsida; Malvales; Malvaceae
Description: long non-coding RNA (GBAR_LNC012597)
Source: RNAcentral
UUUUUAGGGUACAUUAUUAUACGAAUUCAUAUUCAUCUUAUACGAAUUUUCUAUGGAAAAUCAUUAUACGAAUUAAUUUAACAGAACAACUUAACCUGUUAUAUUAUUAGGGUCAUUAAUAAAAGUGGAAGAAACAACCUUCAAACAAGUGGUGGGCUGAGAGUGAAGUCUGUACAAACUUUGACUGUCUUGAUUCUUAUUACAAAGUUACUUUGAG